AUUAAGUUGAUGAAAGAUAUGGUUGUUUUUCUGGUAAACUUGAAGGUCCUCUUGUCAAAUUGUGCAUCUUUAUCUCAUGAUGGAUCUCUGGUUGUUGGUGGGUUCUUCGAUUCAUCAAUAAAGGAGAAUGAAUAAGGACUACGAUUGCAACCUUUAAAGACGUAGAUGUGUACGACGUAGAGUUUUGUGUUGAGAAGACAUGUCUUGAGUAAGGAUGAAUCUACUAAAGUUGGACACUUUGAGGACUUCAAGAAAGAGAAGGAGAAGAUUAUGUUCAAGAAGAAAGUAGGAGACAUGAUUGAAGUUUGUCUUUCUGGUGUUAGAUUAAUUUUGUUUUAAACUUGGUAUGAUGUUAUGAAAAGGAUGGAUAAUGUAAUAUUACUGUUUUGUUGUUGAUGAUUGAUGAUUUAUGAAAUAUAAAAAGUA
This is a long non-coding RNA of Arabidopsis lyrata subsp. lyrata, 426 nucleotides long. RefSeq lists it as uncharacterized. NCBI's taxonomy places the organism in Eukaryota, Viridiplantae, Streptophyta, Magnoliopsida, Brassicales, Brassicaceae. The record is from RefSeq and is a predicted model, not a curated record. The transcript is spliced from 2 exons.